AAGCCCUAUAACAAAUAGAAAACCAUAGCAAAGCACAGAAGGGGAAAGUAAGUCUCCAUAAAACCCAGAGAAGAGAUGCUCGUUUCUUCUUUGGAUCCUGUCUGGAGUCACAAAU
Molecule: small nucleolar RNA, 115 nt
Organism: Oryctolagus cuniculus (rabbit)
Lineage: Eukaryota; Metazoa; Chordata; Mammalia; Lagomorpha; Leporidae
Source: Ensembl